AGGACGAACGCUGGCGGCGUGCUUAACACAUGCAAGUCGAGCGGUAAGGCCUUUCGGGGUACACGAGCGGCGAACGGGUGAGUAACACGUGGGUGAUCUGCCCUGCACUUCGGGAUAAGCCUGGGAAACUGGGUCUAAUACCGGAUAUGACUUCAGGUUGCAUGACUUGGGGUGGAAAGAUUUAUCGGUGCAGGAUGGGCCCGCGGCCUAUCAGCUUGUUGGUGGGGUAAUGGCCUACCAAGGCGACG
This 248-nucleotide ribosomal RNA is filed under the name uncultured soil bacterium. RNAcentral's name for it is "partial 16S ribosomal RNA". It matches the Rfam family "Bacterial small subunit ribosomal RNA", at positions 26 to 278 of the family's 1533-position model. The record is from RNAcentral.